GAACGCUAGCCGGGAGAAUCCUGUUUGCUGCUGUGGCCCGCGGCGCCUUCCAGAGGCGGCGGAUUUGGUACGGUUCCCAUUCCGGAAUGGCGCACAAGACGUGACGAAACUCACCUCUGCUCGGGCGCGGGGAAUUAACCCGUGGAACCACGCAGAGAACAUGACGCCCCACUUGCUCUCGAACUGUCCAGAGUGCCGUGCAAGCUCCUUACGCCUCCAUUCCACCAGCCUGGUGUGACAUGACACAAACAGUUACAUGCAUGUCAAUCAAGGUUUCCAAUACAGUUGUUUGGCUGGCAGCAACAGUGCGGCAUGGUCAAUGUGGCUUUCUGAGUGAAUUGAUGUAUAUAAUUGUCCUUAG
Sycon ciliatum is the source of this 361-nucleotide long non-coding RNA. RefSeq lists it as uncharacterized. The record is from RefSeq and is a predicted model, not a curated record. NCBI's taxonomy places the organism in Eukaryota, Metazoa, Porifera, Calcarea, Leucosolenida, Sycettidae. The transcript has 3 exons.